AGCGAACGCUGGCGGCAGGCCUAACACAUGCAAGUCGAACGGAUCCUUCGGGAUUAGUGGCGGACGGGUGAGUAACACGUGGGAACGUGCCCUUUGGUUCGGAACAACUCUGGGAAACUUGAGCUAAUACCGGAUGUGCCCUUCGGGGGAAAGAUUUAUCGCCAUUGGAGCGGCCCGCGUCUGAUUAGCUAGUUGGUGAGGUAACGGCCCACCAAGGCGACGAUCAGUAGCUGGUCUGAGAGGAUGAUCAGCCACACUGGGACUGAGACACGGCCCAGACUCCUACGGGAGGCAGCAGUGGGGAAUCUUGCGCAAUGGGCGAAAGCCUGACGCAGCCAUGCCGCGUGAAUGAUGAAGGUCUUAGGAUUGUAAAAUUCUUUCAGCGGGGACGAUAAUGACGGUACCCGCAGAAGAAGCUCCGGCUAACUUCGUG
RNAcentral lists this ribosomal RNA (433 nucleotides) under uncultured bacterium. Its description in RNAcentral is "partial 16S ribosomal RNA". It matches the Rfam family "Bacterial small subunit ribosomal RNA", at positions 29 to 507 of the family's 1533-position model. The record is from RNAcentral.